UGGGUUUGAGCGGACCACAAGGGCAACUCAGCGCCACUUUCGUCAAUAAAAAAGACCGCACCGUGGUGAGGCGCCUGACGCUGCCUCUCGCUGCAGACUCAGUGGCGGGAGACCGUAGUGUUGUGUGAGAGCGGUGGUGAGCGGCGCGUGUGUAGUGUGCGGUGCCCUCGAGGCCCGCUGACUCGUGUGUGUCGUGACCUUGUGUGUGGCGGUGCCCUGACUCUGGGCAGCCCUUAGCCCCGACCCUUCGUGCACACAGGCGGACUGGCGGAUACUGAGCGGGCUAGUGCGUCCACGCCACCUCUGCCUGUCCCUCCCCUGGACUCCUAGGCAAAGGCGGCGGGGCACCAGCCGACCCCCAGGAGUGGCCCGUUGCGUCAUGCCCACAUACCCCCGCCUGCCCACGACCUCCCAGGGUGUGGGAUGCUGUGUGUAAUGGAGGGGGCCGGGGAUGGACAGGGAGAUGCCACCACAGAGUUCAUCGCUACGGGUCGGACAGGUCGCCGCAACGCUAUGCCCGACAUCCUCUCCGAGCACGCCGCCACCACCACGGCUGACCUGCCCGAGGCCCUGGAAAAGCUCUCCUGCUCAGACGCUGGCGGUGAAGGCGGCGCCGUGGGCGGGGGAGCGACGGGCGGCAGCAGUGACGGCGCCAGCACGAGCCAGGCCCAGUCCUCGGGCUCCUAAUGGCCCUCCACCACCACCACCACCCCUUGACUUCCAGCGGGACCCCCACCUCCUCCUCCUCCUCUAACCCCGCCCCGCCCCGCCCCGCCGCGCCCAGGGUAAACUUGCACAGACACGAGGGACACACGGGCGGUGCACCUCUUGGCAUUACAAUUAAAGGAUAGUAAGAGUAACCGUGGUGUUUCAUUGUUCACCUUCCCCUGCAGUGUGUGUGUGUGUGUGUGUGUGUGUGUGUGUGUUCUGAAAUAUCUUUUUGAGUAAUAUGAGUAUAAUACAGAUUGAUGGGACAUUCCCUACUGUAGUUUUUUUUUGUAUGUUUGUUUAUCAAGUUAUGUUCGAAUAAUAUAUAUCAUUAUACAUGGGGAAGAUAUGUAAUAAGGUUAUAAAUAUAUAACGAAACCUCUACGUGACUUCAGUUUAGUGUUUCCUCCCGAGCAGGGCCCGGGGGCUAUUUGUUCUCACCGCCCACCUUAGUUUUAUAAUUGUUGCUCUCCGUUCACCCCGCACUGACGACGAAUAUAAUUAAAUGACAGGUAAGACAGCUGGCUCUACACCUAUCCCACACUAAACAGUGACAGUUAUAGCUACAAGAUGAUUAGUAUAUGUUUGUUACAGAAAUGUAGUCAGUACUGACUGAAGAAAUAAAUUAAUUAAGCUUCUGUUUACAGUGUAAAUCAGUGGGACCGAAAAUAUUUAUUUAUUGGUUUAGACUGUUAGCAGAGACCUCAGUUACACCCUGGAAUGUCCAUGUUAUCCUUUGGGGGUAACGACCAUCAGCUGAGGACAUGUACCAUGGAGUGUAUGUAACAAUUACAUAAUACAUAAUACUCUUGUCUCUUUUGUUUUAUUGAAUAUUCUGUGGUGUGUGCAAAUGGUCUGCAGUCGCAAAAAAUGGGCAAGCUAAUAUAUUAUAGUCAUGACUUCUGUGAAGCUGUUUCAGGCCACAACACGCCACUCUCGAGCAUUUCCACAAGCAGGGGGUGGGCGGUCCAUGACUCCUGUGGGGUUCCUGCCAGCAGUCAGCGCCGCGGAGGAACGCCAGCCAAGGGGAAGAGGUCAUAGAAUUCAAAGGCUGCACAACUGUAACGAGAUAAUGAAGUAACGAGUGAAAGUGGAGAGGAAGGGAGUAACCACCACCACGCAGCCACCCCACACGCCCGCCCCCUCGCACCGGCUCUCCACUUGUGGCUUUAAUACUUCACAGGACUUGUGGGCAGCCAGAAAAUGAGGCAGCAGCCAACCAGCUCCUUGGAAGAAACCAUCAUGAGAUCUGUGCAGGGCCCCUUCCUCCCUCAGGGCCUGUCACCAGCUGCUGUGGCCUGAAAAAGAGGGAGGAGCACAGCAAACCUGGACACAGCGACCCAUCCUGGAGACUAGCAGUUUAGCUGGUUUUCUAACAGGGCAAGUGUAAGAGCAGAGACUCUCCCCACUAAGAUUUAUGUUUUUAGUUUUUUUUUUUUUUAUAAUGCAUAAACUCUGCUUCAGCUCUGUGGGACAAUUUUAAUGUUUAUUAAAGCUACUGAACACUGCUA
Molecule: long non-coding RNA, 2219 nt
Organism: Eriocheir sinensis (Chinese mitten crab)
Lineage: Eukaryota; Metazoa; Arthropoda; Malacostraca; Decapoda; Varunidae
Exons: 7
Source: RefSeq, a predicted model, not a curated record